Molecule: ribosomal RNA, 301 nt
Filed under: uncultured bacterium
Lineage: Bacteria
Description: partial 16S ribosomal RNA
Rfam family: Bacterial small subunit ribosomal RNA
Source: RNAcentral
CAGUCGCCGCGGUAAUACGUAUGUCACGAGCGUUAUCCGGAUUUAUUGGGCGUAAAGCGCGUCUAGGUGGUUAUAUAAGUCUGAUGUGAAAAUGCAGGGCUCAACUCUGUAUUGCGUUGGAAACUGUAUAACUAGAGUACUGGAGAGGUAAGCGGAACUACAAGUGUAGAGGUGAAAUUCGUAGAUAUUUGUAGGAAUGCCGAUGGGGAAGCCAGCUUACUGGACAGAUACUGACGCUGAAGUGCGAAAGCGUGGGUAGCAAACAGGAUUAGAUACCCGUGUAGUCCCUGUCUCUUAUACA